Molecule: ribosomal RNA, 468 nt
Filed under: uncultured bacterium
Lineage: Bacteria
Description: partial 16S ribosomal RNA
Rfam family: Bacterial small subunit ribosomal RNA
Source: RNAcentral
GAUGAACGCUGGCGGCGUGCUUAACACAUGCAAGUCGAACGGAAAGGCCCUGCUCUUGUGUGUUGCUUGAUUGGCGAACGGGUGAGUAACACGUGAGUAACCUGCCCCUGACUUAGGGAUAACUUCAGGAGACUGGGGCUCAUACCGGAUAGGAGCUUCUGCUGCACGGUGGUGGUUGGAAAGUUUCGGCGGUUGGGGAUGGACUCGCGGCUUAUCAGCUUCUUGGUGGGGUAGUGGCUUACCAAGGCUUUGACGGGUAGCCCGCCUGGGAGGGUGGCCAGCGACCUUGGGACUGCGGUACGGCCCAGACGGCUACGGUCCGCAGCGGUGGGGAAUAUUGCGCAGUGAGCCGGCGCCAGAUGCAGCAACGCCGCGUGCGGGAUGACCGGCUUCUGGUGGUGAACCGCUUUGGCAGGUGCCGAGGCGUGAGUGACGGUAAUGGGUCAAGAAGCACCGGCUAACUACGUG